This 307-nucleotide ribosomal RNA is filed under the name uncultured eukaryote. Its description in RNAcentral is "partial 18S ribosomal RNA". It matches the Rfam family "Eukaryotic small subunit ribosomal RNA", at positions 1470 to 1796 of the family's 1831-position model. The record is from RNAcentral.
CCCUUAGACGUUCUGGGCCGCACGCGCGCUACACUGGCGAAGGCAACGAGCUACUCUUCACCGAAAGGUGUGGGUAAUCUUUUGAAACUUCGUCGUGCUGGGGAUAGAUCCUUGCAAUUUUUGAUCUUAAACGAGGAAUUCCUAGUAAGCGCAAGUCAUCAACUUGCGUUGAUUACGUCCCUGCCCUUUGUACACACCGCCCGUCGCUACUACCGAUUGAAUGGUUUAGUGAGGCCUUCGGAUCCGCGAUUUUAUUGUGGAGAAGUUGGACAAACUCAGUCAUUUAGAGGAAGUAAAAGUCGUAACA